UCCUACGGGACGCAGCAGUGGGGAAUAUUGGGCAAUGGACGCAAGUCUGACCCAGCAACGCCGCGUGAAGGAAGAAGGCUUUCGGGUUGUAAACUUCUUUUAAGGGGGAAGAGCAGAAGACGGUACCCCUUGAAUAAGCCACGGCUAACUACGUGCCAGCAGCCGCGGUAAUACGUAGGUGGCAAGCGUUGUCCGGAUUUACUGGGUGUAAAGGGAGCGUAGGCGGGAUUGCAAGUUGGAUGUGAAAACUGCGGGCUCAACCCGGAGCGUGCAUUCAAAACUGCGAUUCUUGAGUGAAGUAGAGG
RNAcentral lists this ribosomal RNA (305 nucleotides) under uncultured bacterium. RNAcentral's name for it is "bacterial SSU rRNA". It matches the Rfam family "Bacterial small subunit ribosomal RNA", at positions 337 to 657 of the family's 1533-position model. The record is from RNAcentral.